This 339-nucleotide ribosomal RNA is filed under the name Escherichia coli. RNAcentral describes it as "partial 23S ribosomal RNA". It matches the Rfam family "Bacterial large subunit ribosomal RNA", at positions 1 to 367 of the family's 2925-position model. The record is from RNAcentral. Lineage: Bacteria; Pseudomonadati; Pseudomonadota; Gammaproteobacteria; Enterobacterales; Enterobacteriaceae.
GGGUUGUGAGGUUAAGCGACUAAGCGUACACGGUGGAUGCCCUGGCAGUCAGAGGCGAUGAAGGACGUGCUAAUCUGCGAUAAGCGUCGGUAAGGUGAUAUGAACCGUUAUAACCGGCGAUUUCCGAAUGGGGAAACCCAGUGUGAUUCGUCACACUAUCAUUAACUGAAUCCAUAGGUUAAUGAGGCGAACCGGGGGAACUGAAACAUCUAAGUACCCCGAGGAAAAGAAAUCAACCGAGAUUCCCCCAGUAGCGGCGAGCGAACGGGGAGGAGCCCAGAGCCUGAAUCAGUGUGUGUGUUAGUGGAAGCGUUUGGAAAGGCGCGCGAUACAGGGUGA